Molecule: unclassified non-coding RNA, 253 nt
Filed under: uncultured Gammaproteobacteria bacterium
Lineage: Bacteria; Pseudomonadati; Pseudomonadota; Gammaproteobacteria
Description: contains 16S-23S intergenic spacer region
Rfam family: Bacterial small subunit ribosomal RNA
Source: RNAcentral
UACAGAGGGUGCGAGCGUUAAUCGGAGUUACUGGGCGUAAAGGGUGCGUAGGAGGUUGUGUAAGUUGGAUGUGAAAUACUCGGGCUUAACCUGGGGGCUGCAUUCAAUACUGCACAACUAGAGUAAGGUAGAGGGAAGUGGAAUUUCCGGUGUAGCGGUGAAAUGCGUAGAUAUCGGAAGGAACACCAGUGGCGAAGGCGGCUUCCUGGACCUAUACUGACUCUGAGGCACGAAAGCGUGGGGAGCAAACAGG